GUAGUAUAGAGGACUACCAUGGUGGUAACGGGUAACGGAGAAUCAGGGUUUGAUUCCGGAGAAGGAGCCUGAGAAACGGCUACUACUUCCAAGGAAGGCAGCAGGCGCGCAAAUUACCCAAUCCCGACACGGGGAGGUAGUGACAAAAAAUAACAAUAUCGAUGUUUUUACAACUUUGAUAAUUGGAAUGAGUACAAUCUAAAACCUUUAACGAGUAUCAAUUGGAGGGCAAGUCUGGUGCCAGCAGCCGCGGUAAUUCCAGCUCCAAUAGCAUAUAUUAAAGUUGUUGCAGUUAAAAAGCUCGUAGUUGGAUUUUGAAAUGUUAUAAAACAGCCCGCUUUUGUAAGUGUGAUUUUGUUGUUUUAUAUCUUUCUCCUUACUAGACUUUCACUAUUGUUCUUCAUUGAUCGAUAGUUUCAUCUCUUUUUUGGGGGUGAGUGAUGGUUAGACCUCUUGGGUUUAGGAUUGUGGAUGAUUGCUUUUGGUGAUCGUUCUGCUUAGAUUCAAGAACUGAUUAUUAGAAAUCUAGUUCUUUUACUUUGAGUAAAUUAGAGUGUUCAAGGCAAGCAAAUUAUUAUUGUUGCAAUGAAUACUAUUAGCAUGGGAUAAUGGAACAGGACACGUAUUCUAGUUUUCUGUUGGUUUCUAGAAUUUUUUGGCUUCUUCGGAAGUCAGUAGUGUAAUGAUUAAAAGGGACAGUUGGGGGCAUUCGUAUUUCAUUGUCAGAGGUGAAAUUCUUGGAUUUAUGAAAGACGAACUUCUGCGAAAGCAUUUGUCAAAGAUGUUUUCAUUAAUCAAGAACGAAAGUUAGGGGAUCGAAGACGAUCAGAUACCGUCGUAGUCUUAACCAUAAACUAUGCCGACCAGGGAUUGGAAGAUGUAUUAUUCUGUGUAACAGCAGAAAAACUCCUUCAGUACCUUACGAGAAAUCAUAAGUCUUUGGGUUCUGGGGGGAGUAUGGUCGCAAGGCUGAAACUUAAAGGAAUUGACGGAAGGGCACCACCAGGAGUGGAGCCUGCGGCUUAAUUUGACUCAACACGGGAAAACUUACCAGGUCCAGACACAGUUAGGAUUGACAGAUUGAGAGCUCUUUCUUGAUUCUGUGGGUGGUGGUGCAUGGCCGUUCUUAGUUGGUGGAGUGAUUUGUCUGGUUAAUUCCGAUAACGAACGAGACCUCAGCCUACUAAUUAGUUAUGCAAAUGAUUACAUUCUUUAUGAAGGGGGUUUCUGUUAUAGCUUUGGGUUUGACUUGGAAAUAUAAUAGAAAAACUCGUUUUCAUUUGUUAGAGAUUUGACGCUUCGGUUGAUUAUCUCGAUAACGACUUCUUAGAGGGACACUUGGUGUUUAACCAAGGGAAGUUUGAGGCAAUAACAGGUCUGUGA
This 1383-nucleotide ribosomal RNA is filed under the name Paramoeba branchiphila. RNAcentral describes it as "SSU rRNA". It matches the Rfam family "Eukaryotic small subunit ribosomal RNA", at positions 328 to 1467 of the family's 1831-position model. The record is from RNAcentral. Lineage: Eukaryota; Discosea; Flabellinia; Dactylopodida; Paramoebidae.